GCGGAUAUGUAUUAAAGGUAAAUAAUCUGCCUUCCAAGCAGAGAAUAUGGGUUCGAUUCCCGUUAUCCGCU
RNAcentral lists this transfer RNA (71 nucleotides) under Coccomyxa sp. Obi. It matches the Rfam family "tRNA". Rfam says of the family: Transfer RNA (tRNA) molecules are approximately 80 nucleotides in length. Their secondary structure includes four short double-helical elements and three loops (D, anti-codon, and T loops). The record is from Rfam by way of RNAcentral. Lineage: Eukaryota; Viridiplantae; Chlorophyta; Trebouxiophyceae; Coccomyxaceae.